AUUGCUUCUUGAAUAACCGGUUGUGAAUUGUCUGUGACAUAAUGCGCAGUCGGUUCAGACAGGGGCAUAUAUCAAAUCUGAAUCCACUUGAGGGAAGGAAAUUUCAGUUUUCCUUUCGUAGAUGGACUCAAUAUAU
This 136-nucleotide small nucleolar RNA is filed under the name Leersia perrieri. Its description in RNAcentral is "Small nucleolar RNA snoR138". It matches the Rfam family "Small nucleolar RNA snoR138". The record is from Rfam by way of RNAcentral. Lineage: Eukaryota; Viridiplantae; Streptophyta; Magnoliopsida; Poales; Poaceae.